This 1155-nucleotide ribosomal RNA is filed under the name Triticum aestivum (bread wheat). Its description in RNAcentral is "partial small subunit ribosomal RNA". Lineage: Eukaryota; Viridiplantae; Streptophyta; Magnoliopsida; Poales; Poaceae. The record is from RNAcentral.
AUGGAUGUUUCAUUGCCCCCAGAUGUCAUCCGGCAGCACAUUUUCCCGUAUCUACCAGCCAUCGACAUUCUUCGAUGUAGAUCAAUUGGGACGGCCUGGAAUCUUGCAUAUCUACAAGUAGAUCCCCAGUUUCAAUUGUCAGAGGUUCAGCCUACUCAAGGUGGCAGCAAACCAGUAGGUUUCCUUUUGAGGACAGACCAAGAUCAAGCCAGAGCAACAAGGGGCACUACCAUUCUCAGGUGUUUCAGAAAGCUAAACCAGUCUUUUGCUGGACGCAAUGCCAAGAUCGUUGCUAGCAGUGGUGGUUUGUACUGUGUUUACCUCAGCGAUCCUCUAGAGUUCUUGGUCACCAACUUACUGGGAAAUGUGCACAUUAACCUAAACAUUCCCAUCCAAGAAGAGGAUACCAACUGUGUCGGUAUGGCUGCUUUUCCAGAAGGAGGAGUUGCAGUUGCUGAGUAUUUGGUGGUAAUACCAUUCAGGCCGGCCUAUCUGAACCAAGGUGCAGACGCCGAUCCAGCAAUAAGGUUCAUGAUCUGGGGUUCUCAAGGCAGAGACUGGGACCAGCCGCUACACGCUCAGCAAUGGCUUAAUCACCCGCAAGUGCUUCAUCUGGGAGGCUGGAACCCUAAGAAUGUUGCUCAGAUAGGAACUUCAAUCUAUUUCCACCUCUCUGAGAAUGACCUAAUUUGCUUUGAUUUGCAAGGAGGAGAUUCAGAGCACAUAGACCUUUCUGUGCAACUCCUGGAAACAGCACAGAUGGCCCUUUGCAUUUGGAAUGGCCAAUUGUGCUUCAUGAGUCUGCUUUCAACCGAUGUUCAGAUAUAUGUCCUUCAGCAUAACCAGUGGAUUAUGGCUCAUGAAAUAGGAUUGCUCAACCAUAUUGAGGAAUACAGAUAUGUGUUCAGAAGCUUAACAAUGACACUCCGCAACAGAGCUGUGGAAACGCCAGCAGAAGCAAUGGAAGGGGCAACAGUUGUGGGAUAUGCAGAGCCUAAUUGGCUUCUUCUCAGGCAAAGGGGGAGAUUCAUUAUCAUGAACGAAGAGAUGAUGCUACAGGGGAACGAAGAUGGAAGGCCAAGAAGGGUCAUGCUAAACAAUGCUCGAGGAAAUUUCUUCAUGAGCCACUGCAGUAGUUUUGUCCAGGUUAUCUGA